CCAGCCCAUUCUGAGCGCGCUCCCGCCAGUCCCCCCAGCCUCCCAGGUGCCUUUAAAUCUAAGUCCUCGAGGAACUUGACCCCCCCACCCGCCCCAGCUGUCCCAGCUGUUCCCAAGAAUCCUGGCUGCCUGUGUGGCUUAUUUACUGCUCAGGACAACUGAUAGCUUUACAACCCAGGUUUCGUUUUCACCUUCCUCUUCCUCACAGAUGGAUCACAGAUGAACAUGGACGUUCCAUAAAGUUCUCCUGACCUCAUAUACAUGGUACAGAGAGGAGCCCUCAUCUGGCCAGUAGCGGUCACACUGCUUGAUGCCAUCCUCCACCAGUGGGGUCAGCAUAACAAUGACGGUGCAGCCAUUCUCCCACACCAUCUAGGGACAGAGACCCAGGAUACUGAUGCUCUGCACUUCCCGGCCCCUGUGCACACUUGGGGGAAAGACCUCCCCGGGCCCAAGGCCAAAACCACAGGCCCACCAAGGACAGCUUGAUUCUCCACUUGAAGAAAAGUUCUGUCAGCUCCACACCCGAGUCUACUCCCACCUGUGCUGUGCCUUAUGGAUCAGCUGUCAGCAGACUUUAACUGAAUGCAUGCGUGGCUUUUGGGACAAGUUAACCAAUGCAUGCAUACUCAGAAAAAAACUAUGUUUAUCCCAGAGCAGCCCCUACAGACAGGGCAGUGGAUAGUGAAGAA
This is a long non-coding RNA of Chinchilla lanigera (long-tailed chinchilla), 692 nucleotides long. RefSeq lists it as uncharacterized. The transcript is spliced from 3 exons. Lineage: Eukaryota; Metazoa; Chordata; Mammalia; Rodentia; Chinchillidae. The record is from RefSeq and is a predicted model, not a curated record.